UGGGGAAUUUUGGACAAUGGGCGAAAGCCUGAUCCAGCAAUGCCGCGUGUGUGAAGAAGGCCUUCGGGUUGUAAAGCACUUUUGUCCGGAAAGAAAUCCUUGGCUCUAAUACAGUCGGGGGAUGACGGUACCGGAAGAAUAAGCACCGGCUAACUACGUGCCAGCAGCCGCGGUAAUACGUAGGGUGCAAGCGUUAAUCGGAAUUACUGGGCGUAAAGCGUGCGCAGGCGGUUUGCUAAGACCGAUGUGAAAUCCCCGGGCUCAACCUGGGAACUGCAUUGGUAACUGGCAGGCUAGAGUAUGGCAGAGGGGGGUAGAAUUCCACGUGUAGCAGUGAAAUGCGUAGAGAUGUGGAGGAAUACCGAUGGCGAAGGCAGCCCCCUGGGCCAAUACUGACGCUCAUGCACGAAAGCGUGGGGAGCAAACAGGAUUAGAUACCCUGGUAGUCCACGCCCUAAACGAUGUCAACUAGUUGUUGGGGAUUCAUUUCCUUAGUAACGUAGCUAACGCGUGAAGUUGACCGCCUGGGGAGUACGGUCGCAAGAUUAAAACUCAAAUGAAUUGACGGGGUCAUAGCUGUUUCCU
This 585-nucleotide ribosomal RNA is filed under the name uncultured bacterium. RNAcentral's name for it is "partial 16S ribosomal RNA". It matches the Rfam family "Bacterial small subunit ribosomal RNA", at positions 355 to 1375 of the family's 1533-position model. The record is from RNAcentral.